This 2529-nucleotide ribosomal RNA is filed under the name human metagenome. Its description in RNAcentral is "bacterial LSU rRNA". It matches the Rfam family "Bacterial large subunit ribosomal RNA", at positions 208 to 2490 of the family's 2925-position model. The record is from RNAcentral.
ACCCGUAGGAGAAGAUAUUCCGUGAGUAGUGGCGAGCGAAAGCGGAUGAUGGUUAAACCGUGUGCGUGUGAUACUCGGCAGGGGUUGCGUGUGCGGGGUUGUGGGGCUGUCCUGUUUCUCUUCUGCCGGAGAGGGGGCGCGUGUGCUGAUCUGUAGCUGAAUCGUCUGGGAAGGCGUGGCGUAGUGGGUGAUACCCCCGUAGGCGGAACUGGUUGGUGCGUGUCUGGGAUGGUGCCCGAGUAGCACGGGGCUCGUGGAAUCCUGUGUGAAUCUGCCAAGACCACUUGGCUGCCUGAAUACCUCCUGAUGACCGAUAGUGGAUAGUACCGUGAGGGAAUGGUGAAAAGUACCCCGGGAGGGGAGUGAAAUAGUACCUGAAACCGGGCGCUUACAAGCCGUCAGAGCCUUCCGCAUGCGUUUGUGUGUGGGGGUGGUGGCGUGCCUUUUGAAGAAUGAGCCUGCGAGUCAGUGGCGUGUCGCGAGGUUAACCCGUGUGGGGUAGCCGUAGCGAGAGCGAGUCCGAAUAGGGCGAUGUGUAGUGGCGCGUUCUGGACCCGAAGCGGGGUGAUCUACCCAUGGCCAGGUUGAAGCACGUGUAAGAGCGUGUGGAGGACCGAACCCACCUAGGUUGAAAACUGGGGGGAUGAGCUGUGGGUAGGGGUGAAAGGCCAAUCAAACUCCGUGAUAGCUGGUUCUCCCCGAAAUGCAUUUAGGUGCAGCGUCGCGUGUUGCCCGGCGGAGGUAGAGCUACUGGGUGGCUGAUGGGCCCCACAGGGUUACUGACGUCAACCAAACUCCGAAUGCCGUCGGGUUGUAGCGUGGCAGUGAGACCGCGGGGGAUAAGCUCCGUGGUCGAGAGGGAAACAGCCCAGAUCGCCGGCUAAGGCCCCUAAGCGUGUGCUAAGUGGGAAAGGAUGUGCGGUCGCGCAGACAACCAGGAGGUUGGCUUAGAAGCAGCCAUCCUUGAAAGAGUGCGUAAUAGCUCACUGGUCAAGUGAUCGUGCGCCGACAAUGUAGCGGGGCUCAAGCACACCGCCGAAGCCGCGGACCCACGGCGUUUGUUCCCUUCACCGUGCGCCUUGUGCGUGUGGUGGCAGGGGUCGUGGGUGGUAGGGGAGCGUCCUGCACCGGGGGAAGCCUGUGGGUGACUGCUGGUGGACGGUGCGGGAGUGAGAAUGCAGGCAUGAGUAGCGAUACUAGGGUGAGAAGCCCUAGCGCCGAAUGACCAAGGGUUCCAGGGCCAGGCUAGUCCGCCCUGGGUGAGUCGGGACCUAAGGCGAGGCCGACAGGCGUAGUCGAUGGAUGACGGGUUGAUAUUCCCGUACCGGCGAAGCACCGCCCAUGCUGACGCGCGGGUGCUAACCCACGCCCAGCCACCAUGUAGGCCGCGCCUACUCCUUUCGGGGGGUGGUGUGGUUGUGGUGGUGGGGUCUGGGGAUCCUCCGUGCAGGUAGGCAAGCGUGUUAACAGGGGUGACGCACAGUGGUAGCCCGGCGGACCUGAUGGCUUGGUCCGUUCAAGCGCGCAGCCCGUCCUCCAGGUAAAUCCGGGGGACUGUCUUUGAUGACGGGGGUGAGGCGUGAUGGUGACCUCACACUGGUGGGGGAUAACAGGGUGAUCCUGGGGUGCCGAGAAAAGCCUCGACGCGAUGGUGCCAGCCGCCCGUACCCUAAACCGACACAGGUGGUCGGGCAGAGUAUGCCUAGGCGCACGAGUGAAUCAUGGUUAAGGAACUCGGCAAAAUGCCCCCGUAACUUCGGGAGAAGGGGGGCCCGAUCCCUUGAAGCCCCGUGGCGGGCUAGGGGGGUGGGUCGCAGAGGCCAGGGGGAAGCGACUGUUUACUAAAAACACAGGUCCGUGCGAAGCCGUAAGGCGAUGUAUACGGACUGACGCCUGCCCGGUGCUGGAAGGUUAAGAGGAACCAUCAACCCUCUUGGGUGAAGUGGUGAAUUUAAGCCCCAGUAAACGGCGGUGGUAACUAUAACCAUCCUAAGGUAGCGAAAUUCCUUGUCGGGUAAGUUCCGACCUGCACGAAUGGCGUAACGACUUCCCCGCUGUCUCAACCAUGAGCUCGGCGAAAUUGCAGUACGAGUAAAGAUGCUCGUUUCGCGCAGAAGGACGGAAAGACCCCGGGACCUUUACUACAGCUUGGUAUUGGCGCCCGCUAUAGCUUGUGCAGGAUAGGUGGGAGACUGUGAAGCCGUUACGCCAGUAGCGGUGGAGUCGUCCUUGAAAUACCACUCUGGUUAUGGCGUGCGCCUGAACCUGGGCCCGUGAUCCGGGUUAGGGACAGUGCCUGGUGGGUAGUUUAACUGGGGCGGUUGCCUCCUAAAGUGUAACGGAGGCGCUCAAAGGUUCCCUCAGCCUGGUCGGCAACCAGGUGUUGAGUGCAAGUGCACAAGGGAGCUUGACUGUGAGACCGACGGGUCGAGCAGGUACGAAAGUAGGAACUAGUGAUCCGGCGAUCCCGUGUGGGUGGGUCGUCGCUCAACGGAUAAAAGGUACCCCGGGGAUAACAGGCUGAUCCUG